This 253-nucleotide ribosomal RNA is filed under the name uncultured bacterium. Its description in RNAcentral is "partial 16S ribosomal RNA". It matches the Rfam family "Bacterial small subunit ribosomal RNA", at positions 524 to 776 of the family's 1533-position model. The record is from RNAcentral.
UACGGAGGGGGCUAGCGUUGUUCGGAAUCACUGGGCGUAAAGCGCACGUAGGCGGCUUUGCAAGUCAGAGGUGAAAGCCCGGGGCUCAACCCCGGAAUAGCCUUUGAGACUGCAUGGCUUGAACACGGGAGAGGUGAGUGGAAUUCCGAGUGUAGAGGUGAAAUUCGUAGAUAUUCGGAAGAACACCAGUGGCGAAGGCGGCUCACUGGACCGUUGUUGACGCUGAGGUGCGAAAGCGUGGGGAGCAAACAGG